This 107-nucleotide non-coding RNA is filed under the name unclassified sequences. Its description in RNAcentral is "drum RNA". It matches the Rfam family "drum RNA". From Rfam's summary of the family: Firmicutes, Bacteroidetes (1 example), Proteobacteria (2 examples), Spirochaetes (2 examples). Terminator (Clostridia) The record is from Rfam by way of RNAcentral.
AACCGUAGAAGCACAUACCGGGCUAGGAACUGGUGUGUGUGGAGGUUUACAAAGGUAAGGGGUUUACCAUAGCCUAGCUAGGUGAAAACCGAAAGAAAAUCCCACAA